AAUUAAAGGUGCGUGUGGGCUUUGGCUGACGCUUAAGUACGCUAAAAAAAUAGUUUCGAGUAGUUUCAGGGAUUCCUUAACCUGUAUUCUAAAUUUCAUUCAAAUUACAAAUUCAUUCCAAUUCCAAAUUCAUCUAAAAACUCAGUAAAUUGAAAAAAAAACAUCAAACUCAACUUUAAGCUAAUUUCACUUAUCAGUAAUGCACCCCACCACCACACAAGGCACAACGACACCACAUACGCAACACCAUCAUGACACCAAACCCUUCGACUCCACUGCAAUGACACAAAAAUGCAUUCAACGAACUUAGAAACAACUCAAAAAAAUAACCACAACACACGUGUAUUGGGAUUUCCUUACCAAAUGAAGUUGUGAAGGAACUCAUAUGGACCUAUGGAGGUACGGCGGGAUUUAUUGGGGGAAGAAGAUGAACAACUACGUUGAAAUGAAAACGGUGAGAAGUUGAAAAAUAACAAAGGUUGAGUUGCGGACGAGGAGGAAUGAUAACUAUAAGCUGAAAAAAAGGAACUCAGUAAGGAGGACCA
This 545-nucleotide long non-coding RNA is filed under the name Phaseolus vulgaris (common bean). Its description in RNAcentral is "long non-coding RNA (PVUL_LNC000075)". The record is from RNAcentral. Lineage: Eukaryota; Viridiplantae; Streptophyta; Magnoliopsida; Fabales; Fabaceae.